This 422-nucleotide ribosomal RNA is filed under the name uncultured prokaryote. RNAcentral's name for it is "bacterial SSU rRNA". It matches the Rfam family "Bacterial small subunit ribosomal RNA", at positions 355 to 774 of the family's 1533-position model. The record is from RNAcentral.
UAAGGAAUAUUGGGCAAUGGACGCAAGUCUGACCCAGCCAUGCCGCGUGCAGGAUGACGGCCCUACGGGUUGUAAACUGCUUUUGUACGGGAAAAAACCCUCGCUCGUGAGCGGGGCUGAUGGUACCGUAAGAAUAAGCAUCGGCUAACUCCGUGCCAGCAGCCGCGGUAUUACGGAGCAUGCAAGCGUUCUCCGGAAUCAUUGGGUUUAAAGGGUCCGCAGGCGGGAUAAUAAGUCGGAGGUGAAAUCCGACGGCUCAACUGUAGAGCGGCCUUUGAUACUGUUAUCCUAGAGUGUAGUAGAUGUGGGCGGAAUAUGUCAUGUAGCGGUGAAAUGCUUAGAUAUGACAUAGAACACCGAUCGCGAAGGCAGCUCACAAAGCUACAACUGACGCUCAGGGACGAAAGCGUGGGGAUCAAACA